Molecule: long non-coding RNA, 472 nt
Organism: Homo sapiens (human)
Lineage: Eukaryota; Metazoa; Chordata; Mammalia; Primates; Hominidae
Source: Ensembl
AGUUCAGGUCCUAAUAUCUUUGUGGUUUUUUUUUCCUCAGUAAUCCAUUUAUUAGUGUCUGUGGGGUGUUGUAGUUUCCUCCUAUUAUUGUGUCAGAGUCUGUCUUCAUAAGUCACUAAGAACUUGCUUUAUUUAUUUGCACCCAUAAAUUUAUAUAACACAUUUUUCUCUUCUGCUUUUUUCCCCAUAAACACAGUGUGCCCAAGGCUAUUCCACAGAUGUCUGAAUUCAUUGUCUACUGAAAUUCCGACGUCUUGACAGUUCAACAUGUUCCAGGACAUGGCUGUUGUAGGAAAAAAUAUGAAUUAGAAAUAAGAGGAUUUAUUCACAUACCUUAAAAUAAAGGAGAAUAUUUUGCUCUUCUCUCUUUUCUUAUAGCAUUUAUAUUAUAUGUAGACAAUUUUCUCUGUUUUUUUUGAAAUAUAUGGAAGUCAUAUUAACAGCUAAAUAAACCUUUUGGCAUUCUUUUUUA